CCUACGGGAGGCUGCAGUGAGGAAUAUUGGUCAAUGGGCGCGAGCCUGAACCAGCCAAGUAGCGUGAAGGAUGACUGCCCUACGGGUUGUAAACUUCUUUUGUAAGGGAAUAAAGUGAGGCACGUGUGCCUUUCUGUAUGUACUUUAUGAAUAAGGAUCGGCUAACUCCGUGCCAGCAGCCGCGGUAAUACGGAGGAUCCGAGCGUUAUCCGGAUUUAUUGGGUUUAAAGGGAGCGUAGAUGGGUUGUUAAGUCAGUUGUGAAAGUUUGCGGGUCAACCGUAAAAUUGCAAUUGAUACUGGCAGUCUUGAGUACAGUUGAGGUAGGCGGAAUGCGUGGUGUAGCGGUGAAAUGCUUAGAUAUCACGAAGAACUCCGAUUGCGAAGGCAGCGUACUAAACUGCCACUGACAUUGAUGCACGAAAGUGUGGGGAUCAAACAGGAUUAGAUACCCUAGUAGUC
This 460-nucleotide ribosomal RNA is filed under the name uncultured bacterium. RNAcentral's name for it is "partial 16S ribosomal RNA". It matches the Rfam family "Bacterial small subunit ribosomal RNA", at positions 338 to 795 of the family's 1533-position model. The record is from RNAcentral.